CUCAACCGAGCUUGGGAAGGGGUGGAACAAGAGAUGUUUAGCCUACAGGAAAGUGUGGCUCUGAUACCAGAUGUUAGAAUUUCAAUGGUUACUCUCAUUGAGAAGAGGAUGGCACUCGAGAUGGAGCAAUUUUCUGGUUUUCUUCAUUUACUAAACACAAAAGCCAUGUCCUCCCAAAGAGGAUUGGAUACAUAUUUAUAGCUGCUUGUAGCAGCCAUGCAGCCAUGCAAGUCUAAGAGGGUGCUGUCGUAGAGCAUCCAAACUGAAAGUAGAGAUGCUGUCCUAGAAAAUUGAAAAGCAGGAAAAGGCACCACAAGACCAAGACCAACCAGCCAAGACUUAUUCCUACAGAUGCAAGAAGUGGUGGCGCAAUCCUUUUGUAAUAUUUUGCAGAUUAUAGUAUGUCUAUGUUAGCAUGUUACCUGCCAUGGAUUCAUAACGAUGAGAAAGAACCAAUGAUGCUAAUACAACAGAUCCAGGAUUGACAUCUGUUUUUUUUUAGUCACCUGUGCGUGAGUAUCUCCUUGUGUAUUUGCAGCUUGUGUGACUUGUUAAUAUAAACAUGCUACAACAUCUUGGUUUUUUUAUUUCAGAUGAACAGUGGGUUUAAACUUUUUACUCCUUUGCUAGUAGAAAGUGGCUUUGAUUCUGCGCGGACUAGCUGCAGCCUGCAGGUUAUAACCCUGACGUCACGCUAUGUUGAGCUCCCAAUGGGCCUAACAUAACGGCAUAGUGGGCCGUUAACGGGCCUCGUACCUGUACGGCCGAAACGGAUCGGAGUAGCAAACCAAAGGAAAAAGUACACCCAGGGUCUCUCAACUUGUCAUUGGGUUACAAAAUCAUCCUUGAGCUGCAAAACCCGAUAUACGAUAUACGACGUCCUUUAACUUACAAAACCGUUCACUUUAGUGCAUAGACGGUUUUGAUCCCGGGCUGAGUCAACGUGGAACCCACGCGGGCCCCAUAUGUCAGUAUACCACGUCAUCGCCCUCUCUCCUUCCCCUCCUCUCCAUUUCUCUCUCUUCUCUGUCUUCUCGCAGGCCGGCCGGCAGGUACGGAGGAAGCCGGUGGGGCGAAGCGGGAGAGGAAGAGAGCGACGGCGGCCGGCGACGACGCGGGAGAGUCCACAGCCGCCGUACAGCGAGGGGGCGGGGCGGCGGGAGAAGGCGAGGUGGGGGCGACCGCGACGCAGAGAACGAGGCGAGCUCGGAGGUGCGGAAGGAACGCCAGUAGACGGCUCGGGCACCGGCGAUGCUCGCGACCAGUUGAAUGGGAUGGUGCCGCAGCCAGCUGUGGGCGCCGCGGUCGACGGCGGUGCGCACUGCUCUCCGUCAGGGUCGACGGCGCAGCGCGGCAUUGGGGGCGCCGUGGCCAACGGCGGUAGCGCGCGGCUCUCCGUCGGGGCCGAUGGCGCGGAGCGGCAUGGGGGCCGCCCUCAGGAAUGACGCCGCCCCGGAUCCAGCAGUCGGCGGCGGCAAAUGUGGCGAGGGACAGCAGCAAGAAGAUGGAUGAGAUGGGGAAGAAAAGAUGGAUGAGAUGGGAAAGAGAAAGAGGGACGACGCCGCCCUGGAUCCAGCCUUCUCCGCUCGCCGCCGCCUCGCUGGCUUCGCGCGCCGCCGCUCCGCCUCAUCGUCGCCCCACUUCGCCCGCCGCCGCCGCCGCCGCCCCGCUCCAUCCCACCAGCUCCGUGCGCCGGCGCUCCGCUGCUCGGCUUCUCCCAUGGGAAGAUGAAGAGGGACGGCGCCGCCCUGGAUCCAGCCUUCUUCGCCCGCCGCCACCUCGCCGGCUGCGUGCGCCGCCGCUCCGCCUCGCCGUCGCCCCGCUCCAUCUCGCCAGCUCAGUGCGUUGCCGCUCCACUUGCUCAGCUGCUCCCAUGGGAGAGAGCCGAUAGACACACAGAAGAGAAGGAAGGGGGAAGAAGAGGCUAACACGUGGGGCCCACGUGGGUCCCAAGCUAUGUCAGGUGCCAAGUCAGAUAAAACCAGAGUGAAAACCACCGGGGAUGUGUUGUAUCUGGUUUUGUGUGGUUCAAGGACGAUUUUGUAACUGGAUGCCAAGUUGAGGGACCUUCGGUGUACUUUUUCCGAAACCAAAACCAAACCUCCAAAUUUUCUCAAAAAAAAAAAAAGAAAAGGAAAAAGACAAACAACCUCCGGGGCUUCUGCUCUCGCCCCUCGCCAUGCCAAACACGGCGGCCCUCGCUGGCGUGCGCGGAACACGAACCUGAGGCCCUGAGCUCUAGCGCGGCGCCACGCGCGUCUGCGUGGUGUUUCGCACUCCCAUCUCCGAAAUCCGCAGCUGCGCACGGCCUUGCGCGCGGUUGCAGGCCACCGCCCGCCGCUACCACCCUGCUUGACCAGAUGCAAGCUCCAUCUUCCCAGUGUUCAAAUCCACCCAGAAGUCUGGGAUUACCAGUCUGUGCUGGUCAGGGGACGCGAAACAGCUGUUCGACGGAAUGCCUCAACCAGCAGGAUGUUUUCUUAUCUGGGAAUCACAAGCUAAGAUGUCGAUGCUGUCAAUCUUGAUGGUCCCUUCUCUUGGCUCAACAAUCCGAAAAAGUACUUGUACUAAGGUUGACUUCCCACUACCUGUGCGUCCAACAAUACCUACUGUUUUCUCAGCUGGAAUCACACAAGUUAUGUUUUUUAAUACUGAAGGGAGAUGUUCUGCAUAUCUGACCUGUAUGAUUAAAUGUGCAAUAUCAUUACUGGGCCAACUAAAGGGUGUACACCUCUGAUACUUAGUAUGAAAUAAAAUUAUUAUGAUCUUCUUUCUAAUCAUUUAGAACCAUACCUCUAAGUUGCUUAUGCUUAUCAUGCCAAACUCUGGCCAUGCCAUUGGUGGCUUGCUACCCUCGGUUAUGGUUGGGGCUUCACUUGGAAGCUUUGUGUACUGUAAUAUUCUUUCAACUGAUAUCAUGUUUGCUUC
Long non-coding RNA from Oryza sativa Japonica Group (Japanese rice), 2928 nucleotides. RefSeq lists it as uncharacterized. The record is from RefSeq and is a predicted model, not a curated record. NCBI's taxonomy places the organism in Eukaryota, Viridiplantae, Streptophyta, Magnoliopsida, Poales, Poaceae.